AACCAUAGAAACCUGCGGAGUACCUGCGGAAGGAUCAUUACCGAGUCUUCGUACUCAAAACAACCCUUCUGUGGACCUGAAUAAAACCGUUGCCUCGGCAGGCGGCCCUACCUACGGGCCAGAUAGUUCGGCUGCCCCCAGGGAGGAAACCCUCCCUGAGGUGCUGGCGCCAGCCGCUGGCCCCAAACCAAAACUCUAGUAACUUUUACCUUCUGAGUUUUAAUGCAAGAAAUAAGUCAA
RNAcentral lists this unclassified non-coding RNA (240 nucleotides) under soil metagenome. RNAcentral describes it as "partial contains 5.8S ribosomal RNA, internal transcribed spacer 2, and large subunit ribosomal RNA". The record is from RNAcentral.